Long non-coding RNA from Megachile rotundata (alfalfa leafcutting bee), 279 nucleotides. NCBI's taxonomy places the organism in Eukaryota, Metazoa, Arthropoda, Insecta, Hymenoptera, Megachilidae. The record is from RefSeq and is a predicted model, not a curated record.
AUGGUCAAUGCAUAGGAGGACGCAAAGCACUCAGUAGAAAAGUCGUCCGUGGUCAGACGUUCAUCUAUCGUAUUUCCUGUUGGAGAGAAGUCGACUAAGAAGUAUACACGCAUAAAUCGUGCGCAUAAAAAAUGUACAUAAAUUUUGAUCAGCACUCGAGGAAAAGCGUAGCACUUGAUGAAAAGAUAUCGCUUUCCAUUCAUGAAAGAAGAGACUCAAAGAUCAUAAACAGAUGAGGAAGAACGAGGUCGUCCCCUAAAGAACGAGGUCAAAGGAAAU